GCUCAAAAGAUAGCCGACAAUAAACACCAACCCCCCCCCCAUACCACCUAAACCAAAACAUUUGUUUAGAUUAGUAGAUGAGAUCGAACACCACUCCGGCCUUAUAAGUACCGCAAGGGAAAAAUGAAAGAAUAUUGAAAAACACAAAGCACAAAAUAGCAAAGACAAACCCCUGUACCUCUUGCAUCAUGGUCUAGCAAAACCCCACCAGACAAAGCGAACCUUUAGUCUGUCCACCCGAAACCAAACGAGCUAUUUUUAGGCAGUAAUAAACCAGAACGCACCCGUCCCUGUAGCAAAAGGGUGGGAAGACCUAAAAAUAGGGGCAAAAAGCCAAUCGAGUUUGGUGAUAGCUGGUUACUCAACAAAGAAUAUGAGUUCAACUUUAGGUCUUCAACGAGCCCACCCCUAACCUCGCCACUUAAAACCUAAAGAAAACCAACGGGGGUACAGCCCCGUUGGUCCGGGACACAGCCCGAAUUGAGAGCGGCUCCUUUUUUCCUUUUAGUAGGCCUCAAAGCAGCCACCAAACAACCGCGUUAUAGCAUUAACCUCAAACUAAUCCCAAUAAUUUAAUCAGCCUCCUACCACAUCAUGAGUUAUUCUAUACCCCUAUAGAAAUACUAAUGCUAAAAUUAGUAAUAAGAAACACUUAUUUCUCUUUGCACCCCCUUAAGUCAGAAUAGAAAAACCACUGACAAUUAACAAACACACACACAAUAUCUAGACAGAGUGUUCCUCCCCUUGUUACCCCGACACAGGUGUGCAAAAAAGAAAGGUCUAAAGCCGCAAAAGGAACUCGGCAAAAACUAGUCCCAACUGUUUACCAAAAACAUAGCCUUUAGCCUUACAAGUAUUAAAGGUACCGCCUGCCCAGUGACUCUUUUAACGGCCGCGGUAUCCUAACCGUGCAAAGGUAGCAUAAUCACUUGUCCCUUAAAUCGGGACUGGAAUGAACGGCUAAAUGAGGACUAAACUGUCUCUUGUAGGCUGACCAAUGAAAUUGAUCUUCCAGUACAAAAGCUGGAAUAAAACCAUAAGACGAGAAGACCCUGUGGAGCUUCAAAACCGAACUCAUUAAACAUGACCCCCUCGGAUUUUUAGUUGGGGCGACUUCGGAGAACAAAAAAACCUCCAAAACAUGACCAUCUGUCCACCUUGCUAAGGUCCACACACCAAAGCAACCACAUAAGACCCAGCAACCACCCACGCAUUGUCUGAUCAAUGAACCAAGUUACCCCAGGGAUAACAGCGCCAUCCCCUUCCAGAGUCCAUAUCGACAAGGGGGUUUACGACCUCGAUGUUGGAUCAGGACACCCCAAUGGUGCAGCCGCCAUUAAAGGUUCGUUUGUUCAACGAUUAAUAGUCCUACGUGAUCUGAGUUCAGACCGGAGAAAUCCAGGUCGGUUUCUAUCUAUGAGGCCCUAUUUUCAGUACGAAAGGACCAAGAUAGCAGGACCAAUACCAAAAGAAUGUCCUAACUAAAACUAUUGACACUUACUAAAAAAACACCAGUGCCCACCCACCUGGCCCAAAACUAGGGCUU
This 1546-nucleotide ribosomal RNA is filed under the name Algyroides marchi. Its description in RNAcentral is "partial large subunit ribosomal RNA". It matches the Rfam family "Bacterial large subunit ribosomal RNA", at positions 354 to 2837 of the family's 2925-position model. Lineage: Eukaryota; Metazoa; Chordata; Lepidosauria; Squamata; Lacertidae. The record is from RNAcentral.